This 1022-nucleotide ribosomal RNA is filed under the name Apis mellifera carnica (Carniolan honeybee). RNAcentral describes it as "partial 16S ribosomal RNA". Lineage: Eukaryota; Metazoa; Arthropoda; Insecta; Hymenoptera; Apidae. The record is from RNAcentral.
UUUUCACGCGAGGUUAAAUGAUUUCGAAUAAUGCUUUUUUUUUUUAAAAAUUUUCCCUUUUUGGUUAUAGGGUGAUUAAAAUUUAUUUAAUGAUUUUAAAUAUCUCGAAAAUAAGGGAGCUAAAUUUAUAUUAUUUUUUUUGUAGCAAUAAAAUUAUAAAUAUAGAUUUAGAAAUUAAAUGUUAAACGAACUUAUUAAUAUCUAGUUUUUUUAGAAAUAAAUUUAAUUUAGAUAUAAUUAUUUUAGUAAAUUAAAUUUUAUUUUAAUUUAUUAAUUUUUAUAUUAAAAAUUUAUGGGAUAAUCUAUAAAUUUAAGAUAAAAAUUUAAUUUUAAUUUUUAAUGUUAUAGAGAUAAUAUUUUUCUUUAAUUUUAAUAAUUUAAUAAUUUAAUAUUUAUAAAUUAAUAAUGAUUUAAAUUUAUAUUUUAUUUUUCUAUAAAAAUUUAUAUUUUAAUUAAUAAAAUAUAGAAAUAAUGAUUAGAUUAGUAAUAAAGUUAUAUUUUAUAAUGAUAUUUUGUAUUAUAUAAUUUAAAGGAAUUCGGCAAAUAUAUUAUUCACCUGUUUAUCAAAAACAUGUCCUGUUGAUUAUAAUUUUAGGUCGAUCUGCUCAAUGAAUUAUUUUAAAUAGCUGCAGUAUGUUGACUGUACAAAGGUAGCAUAAUAAAUUGUCUUUUAAUUGAAGAAUUGUAUGAAAGAAUUAAUGAAAUAAUAACUGUCUCUAAAUUAUUAAAUGAAUUUAAAUUUUUAGUUAAAAUUCUAAAAUUUAAUUAUGGGACGAUAAGACCCUAUAGAAUUUAAUUUAAUUUUUAAAUUUAUUUAUAAUUUUAAUAAAUAUAUUUAAGAUUAAAUUUGAUUGGGAGGAUUGGUAAAUUUAAUAAACUUUAUUUAAGAUUUAAUUUUGAUAUAAAGAUAAUUUUUUGAAUUAUAAAUUGUAAUUAAAAGAAUAAAUUACCUUAGGGAUAACAGCGUAAUAUCUUUUGAUAGACCAUAUAGAUAAAGAUGUUGACACCCCCCCAGUGUGGGC